Rosa chinensis is the source of this 609-nucleotide long non-coding RNA. RefSeq lists it as uncharacterized. Lineage: Eukaryota; Viridiplantae; Streptophyta; Magnoliopsida; Rosales; Rosaceae. The record is from RefSeq and is a predicted model, not a curated record. The transcript is spliced from 5 exons.
UGUUUAUGUAAUGUCCAUUUGAAUUGUAUUUAACAGGGUGAUCAGAACACGUGGUUUUCUAAUAAAGAAGCCAAGCUGCUGAAAUUGCAGAAAGUCACCUCUGAAUUUGGAACUUUGUUUCUUCCAUGACUUGGCAUCUGAGUAACCGACUGCAAUACUUCGAAGGUUAAGCAAUAUCAGUAUAUCAAAGAUACAAAACGAAUUGCUUCUAAAACGUCAUGGUUCUCUUGCGAAUCUGGUCUGGGAAUGUCCUUCUGUGAUUUUGAUCAUUGAAUUAUUUGUAUUAUCCUCCCAACACUGUGGCACUCAAAGUGAUAACUCGAUCAGCUAUGAGUAGAUGUAUAGCAGCCUGCUUCAGUACUCAUGUUGUAAAGUUUUUAGUCACACAAAGGUGCUGAACUUGGGAACUUUGAGAUCUUUUCUCACAUGUUGUUUGUUAUAGGAGAGAUCUUCUAUCAUCGUUGUGUCUGAGAUCUCUUUCUUUGAGAAAUGCAGCACUUUUGAAAAUUGUUUUUGUUAUUUCCUGCAAAGGAAGAGGCAGUGACAGAUAAUUAAUAUGAAUGCUGUAAAAUAUGAUGCAGUAAACAUGUAAAAUGUUUGUCAUUAAUG